AACGAACGCUGGCGGCAUGCCUAACACAUGCAAGUCGAACGAAACCUCCCGGUUUUGUUGCGCACGGGUGCGUACCGCGUGGGAACUUGCCCUUAGGUUCCGAAUAAUUCCCUGAAAGGGGUGCUAAUACCGGUUGAUGUCUUCGGACCAAAGAUUUCUCGCCUUUGGGUGGGCCCGCGUUGGUUUAGCCAGUUGGUAGGGUAAUAGCCUAUCAAGGCCACGAUGCUGAGCUGGUCGGGGAGGAAGACAAGCCACACUGGGGAUGCGACACGGCCCAGACUCCGACGGGAGGGAGGGGAGGGGGAUAUUGGAGGAGGGGCGAAAGCCUGAUCCAGCAAUGCCGGGGGAGUGAUGGAGGCGUUAGGGUAGUAAAGCUCUUUUAGCCGGGAUGAUAAUGACAGUACCGGGAGAAGAAGCUCCGGCUAACUCCGUG
RNAcentral lists this ribosomal RNA (433 nucleotides) under uncultured bacterium. Its description in RNAcentral is "partial 16S ribosomal RNA". It matches the Rfam family "Bacterial small subunit ribosomal RNA", at positions 29 to 507 of the family's 1533-position model. The record is from RNAcentral.